Long non-coding RNA from Alnus glutinosa, 399 nucleotides. RefSeq lists it as uncharacterized. NCBI's taxonomy places the organism in Eukaryota, Viridiplantae, Streptophyta, Magnoliopsida, Fagales, Betulaceae. The record is from RefSeq and is a predicted model, not a curated record. The transcript has 3 exons.
CGUGCCAAUGUUAUUUCUUAAGAGAGUGUGAGCACAGUAAGGAUGUAUGGACCCUCAUCGAUACGGCCUCAUUCUCAGUCACAGCCUCAGCCUCAGGCAAAUGCUUUUUUUCAAAGUACCGUCAACACGGUUAGAUUGUAUGGACCCCCUACACCAUUAGGGAAAUUUCAGCCAGGAGGGUCUACUCAGCCAACAGGAUCUUCUCAGGCAUUGAUAGUUACUCAACCAACAGGGUUUUCUCAGCCAUGAGGAUUUUCUCAGCUAAUAGGGUCUUCAUCAAAGCCUGUUACUAGAGGUCGAAAGAUUGUUCCAACAGUGGAGAAGGCAACUAAAGUACUUGAGGCUAAUUAGAGAAAGAGAAAGAAGCCGGAAUGGAAAAAAUAUUAGGGUUAUUGCGUU